Molecule: long non-coding RNA, 637 nt
Filed under: Glycine max (soybean)
Lineage: Eukaryota; Viridiplantae; Streptophyta; Magnoliopsida; Fabales; Fabaceae
Description: long non-coding RNA (GMAX_LNC001644)
Source: RNAcentral
CUGCAGAGGCCUCCGGCGCAAUGUAAGUCGUUCUUGUCUAAACCUGUGGACUGUAACUCCUUUAAGUGUAAACAUUUUGUUCCUUCACCUCCAUCACCUUCACCAUUUCCUUCACCUACAGCACCGGUAACACCUUCUCCAUCACCUUCUACGCCUUCACCAUUUCCUUCACCUACAACACCGGUAACACCACCUUCACCCUCACAUUCCCCUCCAUCACCUUCUACGCCUUCACCUACAACACCGGUUACACCUUCUCCCUCACAUUCACCUCCAUCACCUGCUACACCUUCACCAUUUCCUUCACCUACAACACCGGUAACACCUUCACCCUCACAUUCCCCUCCAUCACCUGCUACACCUUCACCAUUUCCUUCACCUACAACACCGGUAACACCUUCACCCUCACAUUCCCCUCCGUCACCUGCUACACCUACAACACCGGUAACACCUUCACCUUCACAUUCCCCUCCGUCACCUGCUACACCUUCACCAUUUCCUUCACCUACAACACCGGUAACACCUUCACCUUCACAUUCCCCUCCGUCACCUGCUACACCUUCACCAUUUCCUUCACCUACAACUCCUGUAACACCUUCACCUCCAUCGCCUUCUACUCCUUCACCCUUUCCUUCAC